GGAGGAAAGCAGGGGAUCGCAAGACCUUGCGCUUUUGGAGCGGCCGAUGUCUGAUUAGCUAGUUGGUGAGGUAAAGGCUUACCAAGGCGUCGAUCAGUAGCUGGUCUGAGAGGACGACCAGCCACACUGGGACUGAGACACGGCCCAGACUCCUACGGGAGGCAGCAGUGGGGAAUUUUGGACAAUGGGGGAAACCCUGAUCCAGCCAUGCCGCGUGAGUGAAGAAGGCCUUCGGGUUGUAAAGCUCUUUCAGCCGGAACGAAACGGUCACAGCUAAUACCUGUGACUACUGACGGUACCGGAAGAAGAAGCACCGGCUAACUACGUGCCAGCAGCCGCGGUAAUACGUAGGGUGCGAGCGUUAAUCGGAAUUACUGGGCGUAAAGCGUGCGCAGGCGGUUUUGUAAGUCAGAUGUGAAAUCCCCGGGCUUAACCUGGGAACUGCGUUUGAAACUACAAAGCUAG
Molecule: ribosomal RNA, 465 nt
Filed under: uncultured Nitrosospira sp.
Lineage: Bacteria; Pseudomonadati; Pseudomonadota; Betaproteobacteria; Nitrosomonadales; Nitrosomonadaceae
Description: bacterial SSU rRNA
Rfam family: Bacterial small subunit ribosomal RNA
Source: RNAcentral